Long non-coding RNA from Rhincodon typus (whale shark), 248 nucleotides. RefSeq lists it as uncharacterized. Lineage: Eukaryota; Metazoa; Chordata; Chondrichthyes; Orectolobiformes; Rhincodontidae. The record is from RefSeq and is a predicted model, not a curated record. The transcript is spliced from 3 exons.
GUAGAUUUUAUAGAUUACGUUCUCAUAUUGGAACUUAAGGUGGAAGAGUCGGUGGAUCUAUCCUAAAGUCUAUCCUUUUGUUUCAUGGAUUUAUUGAGAAUACAGAGGAAGUCUAUGGGAGCGGUUCAAGAUGCUUGCCCAGAUCCUGUCAAGUCAAUGCAUACAGUUUCGUGAUGAACAGAAAUACAAGGAAGAACUGCAUAAGCUGCUCCGAUGCCGCAAUAAGUUUUACCGUCGUGAAGUGCAGC